GACGAACGCUGGCGGCGUGCUUAACACAUGCAAGUCGAACGGUGAGGCUCCAGCUUGCUGGAGUGGAUCAGUGGCGAACGGGUGAGUAACACGUGAGCAACCUGCCCCAGACUCUGGAAUAAGCGCUGGAAACGGCGUCUAAUACUGGAUACGAGAUCAAGCCGCAUGGUUAUGGUCCGGAAAUUUUUUCGGUUUGGGAUGGGCUCGCGGCCUAUCAGCUUGUUGGUGAGGUAGUGGCUCACCAAGGCGACGACGGGUAGCCGGCCUGAGAGGGCGACCGGCCACACUGGGACUGAGACACGGCCCAGACUCCUACGGGAGGCAGCAGUGGGGAAUAUUGCACAAUGGGCGAAAGCCUGAUGCAGCGACGCCGCGUGCGGGAUGACGGCCUUCGGGUUGUAAACCUCUUUCAGCAGGGAAGAAGCGAAAGUGACGGUACCUGGAGAAGAAGCACCGGCUAACUACGUG
This 468-nucleotide ribosomal RNA is filed under the name uncultured bacterium. Its description in RNAcentral is "partial 16S ribosomal RNA". It matches the Rfam family "Bacterial small subunit ribosomal RNA", at positions 28 to 507 of the family's 1533-position model. The record is from RNAcentral.